This is a long non-coding RNA of Manis pentadactyla (Chinese pangolin), 858 nucleotides long. RefSeq lists it as uncharacterized. NCBI's taxonomy places the organism in Eukaryota, Metazoa, Chordata, Mammalia, Pholidota, Manidae. The record is from RefSeq and is a predicted model, not a curated record. The transcript has 4 exons.
CACGGCAGGCCUGCUUGUUCAGGGUCUCUGAGGUACUUUCAAGUCAGCCAGCUCAUUCUUCUGAUCAGGGGUGUGGCUCCACCUCCACAUCUAGAUCAGACACCCAGGCACAUGGAACGAGCAGCCCAGCGUCACACAGCUGGCAUCCAGUGAGGUGACUUGGGUUGUUUUAAAGCUCUUAAAGAAGUGCACAGAGAAAAGGUCGUGUGAGGACACAGUGAGAAAUCAGUCAUCUGUAAGCAGGAAAGAGAAGUUUUGCCAGAAACUGAAAUGUCCAGCACUUUGAACUGGGACUUCUAGCCUCCAGAACUUUUCAGCUCUUGGAAAAUCCCAGAUUAAAGCAUCAGUGGAGCAGACAGAGACAAAGGGCCCUUCUUUGGGGAGACAAAAAAUAAGCCACAUCUUCACAGGUGAUCAAAGUGCAUAAAAGAAAUACUACUAUGACUGAAGAUUGAUGGGAUCUGAAAGGGACAUAGAAAAGAAAAAUAUGCAAGAAUAUUCUUCCUUUUGAAAGGUAAGUCUUCUUAAAUUUUUCAAUUGAAAAUUUUAUAAUAUUCCUCAUUACGGUUCACAGUGGGGGAUGGUGAAUAAAAAUGGAUAGAACUGGGAGAAAUGAAACACCUGGAUUAAUAUUAACAAAUUCUUAACCAUCUCUGAGAUUAUGCAUCAUACAAAAGUAAAUGUGAAAUAUAUGCAAAUAUACUCAUGUGAGUCCCUCAGAUGCUUUACUUGAUACCAUGGAGGUGUCUUGCCAGUGGGUUUCAGCCCCAAGCAAAUUAACUAUGGAUUCAAUGUGACCAAAGAAAUGACAGUAGAACGUUCUUGGGGUGAAAGGGUUAUACCCAACUUUAUUUCUAU